GAAAGGCUCUUGCACUUCAUGAAGACAGUUGCUGUCAACAAAUCCAAAAGAUUCUACCAAGCUGCAACAAAGCUACAGAUUAUGAUGGGAGAACAGGCAGUUAGCACACAGGUCACAGAGAUGGUGCUGCUUCUUCUGGCUUAUUUUGACGAGAGAGAUGAUGUGAUGUUCCAUUACGUGGAGGAUACUUGCCUGGCUGAAGAAGUGGUCAUGGACCGAGUUCCCUUGACUCCAACGAUUGUUGUAUGUGGACAAUCCUGCUUUUCCGCCAGAAGGAUGAUGCUUAGUGUGGAUCACGUCAUCGUUAACGACAACAUCUCUUCCUUCAUCACGUCUUUGUGCAUGAUGUUUGGCUCUUACUACUGUUUCAACAUCCAUUAUCCCUCAGCACUUGCUUCAACCCUGGAGUUUCUACAGAGAUGUUUCUUCUCUAUAAAUCCAGAGAGGGGGACCAAAGUGGAGCGAACCAGUGCUACACGCUUGCAUGUAAAUGCCAGAGUCCUGACGCUGAUUCAGGACCUCUCAGACCACGAAUGGCGAUCCAUUUAAAAAGGUGUCCUUUGAGUGGCCACAGCAGUUGAUGUUUCCCCAGAUGUUCUUCAGGGUGUGUUUAUAGAUGUUCCAGCCCAUGAUAUGCGAGCCAUUUAAAAAGGUGUCCUUUGAGUGGCCACAGCAGUUGAUGUUUCCCCAGAUGUUCUUCAGGGUGUUUUUAUAGAUGUUUCAGCCCAUGAUUGGCGAGCCAUUUAUAAAGGUAUUCCUUUGAGUGACCACAGCACUCAUAACUCUACUGUUUUCAAAAAUAAACUUGCAUUCUUUAGAAUGAUUCAUUGACUAACGAGUGGUUUGUUACAGUCUAUCCUCAAAUUAACAUUUAGAAGUAAUUUGAAGCACUGCGGAUAAAAAGUAAAACUGUAAUACAUGCGUACAUGUCCUGUUGAUUUUUCGGAUAAAAACUGGCAGCUGUGGUUGCCAGAAUAAUCCUGUU
This is a long non-coding RNA of Acanthopagrus latus (yellowfin seabream), 985 nucleotides long. RefSeq lists it as uncharacterized. The record is from RefSeq and is a predicted model, not a curated record. The transcript is spliced from 6 exons. Lineage: Eukaryota; Metazoa; Chordata; Actinopteri; Spariformes; Sparidae.